CACGUAGUUAGCCGGUCCUUAUUCCCCACCUACCGUCAACCCGGAGAAAACCCCGGGCCUGCGUGAGUGGUAAAAGAGGUUUACAACCCGAAGGCCGUCAUCCCCCACGCGGCGUCGCUGCGUCAGGCUUUCGCCCAUUGCGCAAGAUUCCCCACUGCUGCCUCCCGCAGGAGUCUGGGCCGUGUCUCAGUCCCAGUGUGGCCGGUCGCCCUCUCAGGCCGGCUACCCGUAAUCGCCUUGGUAGGCCUUUACCCCACCAACAAGCUGAUAGGCCGCGAGCCCAUCCCUGACCGAAAAAACUUUCCACCCUCGGGCAUGCACCCGGGGGUCGUAUCCGGUAUUAGACGGCGUUUCCACCGCUUAUCCCGGAGUCAGGGGCAGGUUGCUCACGUGUUACUCACCCGUUCGCCGCUCGUGUACCCCGAAGGGCCUUACCGCUCGACUUGCAUGUGUUAAGCACGCCGCCAGCGUCGUCCUCGAGCCACGGAGUCAACUAC
Molecule: ribosomal RNA, 497 nt
Filed under: uncultured Nocardiopsis sp.
Lineage: Bacteria; Bacillati; Actinomycetota; Actinomycetes; Streptosporangiales; Nocardiopsidaceae
Description: partial 16S ribosomal RNA
Source: RNAcentral